Molecule: transfer RNA, 73 nt
Filed under: Pterorhinus courtoisi
Lineage: Eukaryota; Metazoa; Chordata; Aves; Passeriformes; Leiothrichidae
Description: Garrulax courtoisi tRNA-Asn
Source: RNAcentral
UAGGCAGAAGCCUGUUGGUUGGGGCAUGUAGCUGUUAACUAUAUUUUCAUGGGAUCGAAGCCCAUCUGCCUAG